Molecule: ribosomal RNA, 230 nt
Filed under: uncultured bacterium
Lineage: Bacteria
Description: partial 16S ribosomal RNA
Rfam family: Bacterial small subunit ribosomal RNA
Source: RNAcentral
UGAGCAAUCUGCCCUUCUCUUCGGAAUAAGCGUGGGAAACCGCGUCUAAUGCCGAAUACGACCUCCUUUCGCAUGAUCGGAGGUGGAAAGCUCCGGCGGAGAAGGAUGAGCUCGCGGCCUAUCAGCUUGUUGGUGAGGUAAUGGCUCACCAAGGCGACGACGGGUANCUGGUCUGAGAGGACGACCAGCCACACUGGAACUGAGAUAUGGUCCAGACUCCCGUAACGGGG